CCUANGGGCGGCAGCAGUCGAGAAUAUUCGACAAUGGGCGAAAGCCUGAUCGAGCGACACCGCGUGCGGGACGAAGCCCUUCGGGGUGUAAACCGCGGUAGUAGGGGAAGAACGCUAUAGCAAUAUAGUUUGACGGUACCCUACGGAAAGAGGUGGGUAACUACGUGCCAGCACCAGCGGUAAAACGUAGACCUCGAGCGUUAUCCGGAUUUAUUGGGCGUAAAGCGCGUGUAGGAGGUUCGGUGCGUCUUCUGUGAAAUCUCGGAGCUCAACUUCGAGCCUGCAGAGGAUACGACCGAACUAGAGGAUGUUAGGGGCUGAUGGAACGCACGGUGUAGGGGUGAAAUCCGUUGAUAUCGUGCGGAACUCCGAAGGCGAAGGCAAUCAGCUGGGACAUUCCUGACUCUAAGACGCGAAAGCGUGGGGAGCAAAAAGGAUUAGAUACCCUANUANUC
Molecule: ribosomal RNA, 455 nt
Filed under: uncultured bacterium
Lineage: Bacteria
Description: bacterial SSU rRNA
Rfam family: Bacterial small subunit ribosomal RNA
Source: RNAcentral